UACAGAGGGUGCAAGCGUUAAUCGGAAUUACUGGGCGUAAAGCGUGCGUAGACGGUUGCGUAAGUCAGAUGUGAAAGCCCCGGGCUCAACCUGGGAAUUGCAUUUGAGACUGCGUAGCUAGGGUGCGGAAGAGGAGAAUGGAAUUCCUGGUGUAGCGGUGAAAUGCGCAGAUAUCAGGAAGAACACCCGUGGCUAAGGCGGUUCUCUAGUACGGUACUGACGCUGAGACGCGAAAGCGUGGGGAGCGAACAGG
Molecule: ribosomal RNA, 253 nt
Filed under: uncultured bacterium
Lineage: Bacteria
Description: partial 16S ribosomal RNA
Rfam family: Bacterial small subunit ribosomal RNA
Source: RNAcentral